Molecule: ribosomal RNA, 945 nt
Filed under: marine metagenome
Description: bacterial SSU rRNA
Rfam family: Bacterial small subunit ribosomal RNA
Source: RNAcentral
ACUCUGAUGCAGCGAUGCCGCGUGAGUGAAGAAGGCCUUUGGGUUGUAAAGCUCUUUCGUCGGGGAAGAAAAUGACUGUACCCGAAUAAGAAGGUCCGGCUAACUUCGUGCCAGCAGCCGCGGUAAUACGAAGGGACCUAGCGUAGUUCGGAAUUACUGGGCUUAAAGAGUUCGUAGGUGGUUGAAAAAGUUGGUGGUGAAAUCCCAGAGCUUAACUCUGGAACUGCCAUCAAAACUUUUCAGCUAGAGUAUGAUAGAGGAAAGCAGAAUUUCUAGUGUAGAGGUGAAAUUCGUAGAUAUUAGAAAGAAUACCAAUUGCGAAGGCAGCUUUCUGGAUCAUUACUGACACUGAGGAACGAAAGCAUGGGUAGCGAAGAGGAUUAGAUACCCUCGUAGUCCAUGCCGUAAACGAUGUGUGUUAGACGUUGGAAAUUUAUUUUCAGUGUCGCAGCGAAAGCGAUAAACACACCGCCUGGGGAGUACGACCGCAAGGUUAAAACUCAAAUGAAUUGACGGGGACCCGCACAAGUAGUGGAGCAUGUGGUUUAAUUCGAAGAUACGCGCAGAACCUUACCAACACUUGACAUGUUCGUCGCGACUUUAAGAGAUUAAAGUUUUCGGUUCGGCCGGACGAAACACAGGUGCUGCAUGGCUGUCGUCAGCUCGUGUCGUGAGAUGUUGGGUUAAGUCCCGCAACGAGCGCAACCCUCACUUUUAGUUGCCAUCAUUUAGUUGGGCACUCUGAAAGAACUGCCAGUGAUAAGCUGGAGGAAGGUGGGGAUGACGUCAAGUCCUCAUGGCCCUUACGUGUUGGGCUACACACGUGCUACAAUGGUAUCUACAACAGGAAGCAAAACUGCGAAGUUAAGCAAAUCCUUAAAAGAUACCUCAGUUCGGAUUGCACUCUGCAACUCGAGUGCAUGAAGCUGGAAUUACUAGUAAUCG